This 418-nucleotide ribosomal RNA is filed under the name uncultured bacterium. RNAcentral's name for it is "bacterial SSU rRNA". It matches the Rfam family "Bacterial small subunit ribosomal RNA", at positions 355 to 787 of the family's 1533-position model. The record is from RNAcentral.
UGGGGAGUAUUGCAUCAAUGGGGAAAGGACCCUGAUGCAGCAACGCCGCGUGAAGGAAGAAGGUCUUCGGAUUGUAAACUUCUGUCCUCAGGGAAGAUAAUGACGGUACCUGAGGAGGAAGCUCCGGCUAACUACGUGCCAGCAGCCGCGGUAAUACGUAGGGAGCGAGCGUUGUCCGGAUUUACUGGGUGUAAAGGGUGCGUAGGCGGAUCUGCAAGUCAGUAGUGAAAUCCCAGGGCUUAACCCUGGAACUGCUAUUGAAACUGUGGGUCUUGAGUGAGGUAGAGGCAGGCGGAAUUCCCGGUGUAGCGGUGAAAUGCGUAGAGAUCGGGAGGAACACCAGUGGCGAAGGCGGCCUGCUGGGCCUUAACUGACGCUGAGGCACGAAAGCAUGGGUAGCAAACAGGAUUAGAUACCC